GCCGGGCUAGCUCAGUCAGUGGAGCAUGAGACUCUUAAUCUCAGGGUCAUGGGUUCAAGUCCCACAUUUGGCA
Non-coding RNA from Mesocricetus auratus (golden hamster), 73 nucleotides. The record is from the annotation of a RefSeq genome assembly. NCBI's taxonomy places the organism in Eukaryota, Metazoa, Chordata, Mammalia, Rodentia, Cricetidae.